AUGUUUAAAAAAACCCUCUCAAUCUGAUAUCAAAAAGUGCCCUCUGCGCAAAGGUUUAGCGCGUUCAUCAGCGGUGAGUUUAACAACACUCAACUGCAGGUAAAACGGCAUUCAGAGGUGAGUUUGACCAAAGCAACGCUCAACUGCAGGUAAAAGCAUUAAAAUGUGAGUUUAACAACGCUCCAAGGCGCGUGCAAGUAAGCAGUUUAAGCGUUUUAUUACAACCCAUUCUCACUCCUAAAGCGCCAAAAAAACUGACGCCUCUAGCGUCACUAUGAAGACGCCAAAGGCGCCCCUCGGCGUCGCUAUAUCGACGCACUAGGACCUACAUUGCUUUAAGUGGGAAACUUUUGGCGUCAGUACUCAGACGCGAAGGGCAUGAGAUGUUUAUCGCUAUGAAAUCACGUUCAAGAAGUCUCAUUCAGCGCACAUCGCGAUAUUUGCCAUCAGUUUACAUGUGCCACAGGUUGGGUGAGUAGUCGUAAAUACGCUGAUUUAAUGCCUGUUAUAAAAUGUAUUCCGUCUUCUUUAUUAAUCAGAAUAGCGCUGUAUGUUUCCUCGGGUUUUAACUUCAAAUUUCAUUUGUUACUAUUGUACGUGUCGUGGUUACCAUGAUUUUACUACAAAUACAACUUACAUCUUUGAACCUGAUAUGAAUAUAAAACGGAUCGAAGGUCUAUGGCACGUCACGUGACAGAUAGAGUUUAAUCACUCUAGUUAGCAGCUGUCUUCAUUUAGUUAAACGCAAUGAAACUCAAAGACAGCCUCGGAUGACCGAUAUAAUACAGCGAGGAAACAUACAGCGCUAUUCUGAUUAAUAAAGAAGACGGAAUACAUUUUUAUAACAGGCAUUAAAUCAGCGUAUUUACGACUACUCACCCAACCUGUGGCACAUGUAAACUGAUGGCAAAUAUCGCGAUGUGCGCUGAAUGAGACUUCUUGAACGUGAUUUCAUAGCGAUAAACAUCUCAUGCCCUUCGCGUCUGAGUACUGACGCCAAAAGUUUCCCACUUAAAGCAAUGUAGGUCCUAGUGCGUCGAUAUAGCGACGCCGAGGGGCGCCUUUUGGCGUCUUCAUAGUGACGCUAGAGGCGUCAGUUUUUUGGCGCUUUAGGAGUGAGAAUGGGUUGUAAUAAAACGCUUAAACUGCUUACUUGCACGCGCCUUGGAGCGUUGUUAAACUCACAUUUUAAUGCUUUUACCUGCAGUUGAGCGUUGCU
Molecule: long non-coding RNA, 1219 nt
Organism: Cyprinus carpio carpio
Lineage: Eukaryota; Metazoa; Chordata; Actinopteri; Cypriniformes; Cyprinidae
Source: Ensembl